GACCAGACUCCUACGGGAGGCAGCAGUGGGGGAUAUUGCACAAUGGGGGAAACCCUGAUGCAGCGACGCCGCGUGGGUGAAGAAGCGCCUCGGCGCGUAAAGCCCUUUCAGCAGGGAAGAAAAUGACGGUACCUGAAGAAGAAGCCCCGGCUAACUACGUGCCAGCAGCCGCGGUAAUACGUAGGGGGCAAGCGUUAUCCGGAUUUACUGGGUGUAAAGGGAGCGUAGACGGCGGUGCAAGCCAGAUGUGAAAGCCCGGGGCUCAACCCCGGGACUGCAUUUGGAACUGUGCUGCUAGAGUGUCGGAGAGGCAGGCGGAAUUCCUAGUGUAGCGGUGAAAUGCGUAGAUAUUAGGAGGAACACCAGUGGCGAAGGCGGCCUGCUGGACGAUGACUGACGUUGAAGCUCGAAAGCGUGGGGAGCAAACAGGAUUAGAUACCCGAGUA
RNAcentral lists this ribosomal RNA (446 nucleotides) under uncultured bacterium. RNAcentral describes it as "partial 16S ribosomal RNA". It matches the Rfam family "Bacterial small subunit ribosomal RNA", at positions 329 to 792 of the family's 1533-position model. The record is from RNAcentral.